This 456-nucleotide ribosomal RNA is filed under the name uncultured bacterium. Its description in RNAcentral is "bacterial SSU rRNA". It matches the Rfam family "Bacterial small subunit ribosomal RNA", at positions 120 to 572 of the family's 1533-position model. The record is from RNAcentral.
GGGAUCUGCCGAAUGGAGGGGGACAACAGUUGGAAACGACUGCUAAUACCGCAUAAUGUCGCGAGACCAAAGCAUGGGACCUUAGGGCCAUGCGCCAUUUGAUGAACCCAUAUGGGAUUAGCUAGUAGGUGAGGUAAUGGCUCACCUAGGCGACGAUCUCUAGCUGGUCUGAGAGGGUGACCAGCCACACUGGGACUGAGACACGGCCCAGACUCCUACGGGAGGCAGCAGUGGGGAAUAUUGCACAAUGGGGGAAACCCUGAUGCAGCCAUGCCGCGUGUAUGAAGAAGGCCUUCGGGUUGUAAAGUACUUUCGGUAGCGAGGAAGGGGUUAUAUCUAAUAGGUGUAAUCAUUGACGUUAACUACAGAAGAAGCACCGGCUAACUCCGUGCCAGCAGCCGCGGUAAUACGGAGGGUGCGAGCGUUAAUCGGAAUGACUGGGCGUAAAGGGCAUGU